This is a long non-coding RNA of Sarcophilus harrisii (Tasmanian devil), 913 nucleotides long. RefSeq lists it as uncharacterized. The transcript is spliced from 4 exons. The record is from RefSeq and is a predicted model, not a curated record. Lineage: Eukaryota; Metazoa; Chordata; Mammalia; Dasyuromorphia; Dasyuridae.
CUAGGGACCUGUACUGUGAUACAGCACUGCAACCUGAAUCUAUGGAUUGAGAGCUCUGGAAGCCAUUUCUCCAUCCCCAUGCUUUUGCUGGUCCUGUAGCCUCUGCUGCUAUUGCUGCUGCCAGGAUUGUUGAUUCAGUGGCUCCUGGUUUGCUUGGGCUCCCUUCACAAACUAAUGUGCCUUUCCUGAUCACCGAUCACCCUUGAUGUCUAUGGGGCUGAGAGAUCAGCUUCUCUCUGAGAGCCAUCUGGAUCCAUUGGCAAGAUGUAGAUAAAGACGGCAGGUUGUAACACUACCAGAGAGCAACUUCAAGAAACAGAGGAAGCCAAAUAUGUCCUGGAGAAGUUUCUUUGCAGUUAAAAACAAUCUGCUGCUGUAUUCUUUGGCACAAGUUCUUAAUGAAAGCCUUUCUCCAUUUAACUAUUCCUAUAUAUUCUUCUGAGACUUGGGAAGUUGCUUAAAGUUCAAAAGGAUGUCUCAAUAGACUAUCUUGCCUAGAAAAGAGAUCUUUUAUAAAAAAAAAAGAUUUAUAAUGCCAUGUCCAGAUUGCUGGUUUUGUCAGGCAGCAGUCAAGUAUAAUUCAUCACUCAAAGUCAAUGCUGUAUGAGGACUGGUUGAAGGUACUACAGAUGACAAGGUUGAAGAAGAAAAGACUUGGAAGGAAAUGAGAGCCAUUUUCAAGUGUUUGAAGGGCUGUCAGAUGGAAGAGUGUUUGACCUUCAAGAUCAGAACUAAGAGCAACAACCUUGAUUAAUGAUGAUUCUGAGAAGAUGAGAGCGAAAGGAGAGAACAAGAAAAAGGAAGGGAAGAAAAGAAAGAGAAUGAAAGGAGUAGAUGUGAAAAACAACUUCAAAAUAAUUUUGGGGAUAAUAUUCCUUUUUGUUCUUUACUCCACACCUUCCAUUUCAACUUC